GCGGACAGAAGGGAGCUUGCUCCCGGAUGUUAGCGGCGGACGGGUGAGUAACACGUGGGUAACCUGCCUGUAAGACUGGGAUAACUCCGGGAAACCGGAGCUAAUACCGGAUAGUUCCUUGAACCGCAUGGUUCAAGGAUGAAAGACGGUUUCGGCUGUCACUUACAGAUGGACCCGCGGCGCAUUAGCUAGUUGGUGAGGUAACGGCUCACCAAGGCGACGAUGCGUAGCCGACCUGAGAGGGUGAUCGGCCACACUGGGACUGAGACACGGCCCAGACUCCUACGGGAGGCAGCAGUAGGGAAUCUUCCGCAAUGGACGAAAGUCUGACGGAGCAACGCCGCGUGAGUGAUGAAGGUUUUCGGAUCGUAAAGCUCUGUUGUUAGGGAAGAACAAGUGCAAGAGUAACUGCUUGCACCUUGACGGUACCUAACCAGAAAGCCACGGCUAACUACGUGCCAGCAGCCGCGGUAAUACGUAGGUGGCAAGCGUUGUCCGGAAUUAUUGGGCGUAAAGGGCUCGCAGGCGGUUUCUUAAGUCUGAUGUGAAAGCCCCCGGCUCAACCGGGGAGGGUCAUUGGAAACUGGGAAACUUGAGUGCAGAAGAGGAGAGUGGAAUUCCACGUGUAGCGGUGAAAUGCGUAGAGAUGUGGAGGAACACCAGUGGCGAAAGCGACUCUCUGGUCUGUAACUGACGCUGAGGAGCGAAAGCGUGGGGAGCGAACAGGAUUAGAUACCCUGGUAGUCCACGCCGUAACGAUGAGUGCUAAGUGUUAAGGGGUUUCCGCCCCUUAGUGCUGCAGCUA
Molecule: ribosomal RNA, 805 nt
Filed under: Bacillus sp. 9AO
Lineage: Bacteria; Bacillati; Bacillota; Bacilli; Caryophanales; Bacillaceae
Description: bacterial SSU rRNA
Rfam family: Bacterial small subunit ribosomal RNA
Source: RNAcentral